This 414-nucleotide long non-coding RNA is filed under the name Amphimedon queenslandica. Its description in RNAcentral is "uncharacterized LOC109582632". Lineage: Eukaryota; Metazoa; Porifera; Demospongiae; Haplosclerida; Niphatidae. The record is from RNAcentral.
AAGAGAAGUAAAGGAGGAACAGAAAUGAGCAUCACAAAGUCUGUUAUUGAUGAUUAGGAUAGUUUCUUGUGCCUGCUGACAGGAUUUAGUGGCAAACAAAGUGUCAAUCACUACUGUGGCUCUGUACUGCAUUAUGUCCUCUGGAAAAUAAGUUCUGGAACAGAAAAACUUCCUUGGUCCUCGGUCAAUGACUAAAGCUAGUGAGCUUACCUAUUGAUGAGCAAUGAGUUAAGAAAUGUGCUAUAGGGGUACAUACUUUUAUGGAAGAUGAAGAACUACUUCUGCCUCAUCUGCAAAUGAUGUCUCUAACAGCCAUGGCCUUUGUAGCAUUCUUAUUACUAUCAUUAUAUUAUUAUACAAUUUUAGUCAAUUUUGCAUUAUUAAACAUACUGUUUUGAUCUGAUAGCAAAAUGC